GUACACAAAAGCGCAUGUGCUGUGAGCUCGAUGAGUAGGGCGGGACACGUGGUAUCCUGUCUGAAUAUGGGGGGACCAUCCUCCAAGGCUAAAUACUCCUGACUGACCGAUAGUGAACCAGUACCGUGAGGGAAAGGCGAAAAGAACCCCGGCGAGGGGAGUGAAAAAGAACCUGAAACCGUGUACGUACAAGCAGUGGGAGCCCCACCACCAAAGCAUUCUCUGGUGUUGAAGGCCCUGCAAAGCAGCAUCGCGGUGGCGGAGCGUCGUUUGCGACGCCCAACACACAAAACAAGCGGUGAGUGCUUUGGGGUGGGGUGACUGCGUACCUUUUGUAUAAUGGGUCAGCGACUUAUAUUCUGUAGCAAGGUUAACCGAAUAGGGGAGCCGGAGGGAAACCGAGUCUUAAUUGGGCGUUAAGUUGCAGGGUAUAGACCCGAAACCCGGUGAUCUAGCCAUGGGCAGGUUGAAGGUUGGGUAACACUAACUGGAGGACCGAACCGACUAAUGUUGAAAAAUUAGCGGAUGACCUGUGGCUGGGGGUGAAAGGCCAAUCAAACCGGGAGAUAGCUGGUUCUCCCCGAAAGCUAUUUAGGUAGCGCCUCGUGAAUUCAUCUCCGGGGGUAGAGCACUGUUUCGGCUAGGGGGCCAUCCCGGCUUACCAACCCGAUGCAAACUGCGAAUACCGGAGAAUGUUAUCACGGGAGACACACGGCGGGUGCUAACGUCCGUCGUGAAGAGGGAAACAACCCAGACCGCCAGCUAAGGUCCCAAAGUCAUGGUUAAGUGGGAAACGAUGUGGGAAGGCCCAGACAGCCAGGAUGUUGGCUUAGAAGCAGCCAUCAUUUAAAGAAAGCGUAAUAGCUCACUGGUCGAGUCGGCCUGCGCGGAAGAUGUAACGGGGCUAAACCAU
This 913-nucleotide ribosomal RNA is filed under the name Salmonella enterica subsp. enterica serovar Infantis. Its description in RNAcentral is "partial 23S ribosomal RNA". It matches the Rfam family "Bacterial large subunit ribosomal RNA", at positions 375 to 1190 of the family's 2925-position model. Lineage: Bacteria; Pseudomonadati; Pseudomonadota; Gammaproteobacteria; Enterobacterales; Enterobacteriaceae. RNAcentral also lists the same sequence under 1 other name. The record is from RNAcentral.